ACAGCAGCCGCCACGGUAAUACGAAGGGGGCUAGCGUUGUUCGGAUUUACUGGGCGUAAAGGGCGCGUAGGCGGACUGAUAAGUCAGGGGUGAAAUCCCAAGGCUCAACCUUGGAACUGCCUUUGAUACUGUUUGUCUUGAGUCCAAGAGAGGUAAGUGGAACUGCGAGUGUAGAGGUGAAAUUCGUAGAUAUUCGCAAGAACACCAGUGGCGAAGGCGGCUUACUGGCUCGAAACUGACGCUGAGGCGCGAAAGCGUGGGGAGCAAACAGGAUUAGAUACCCCAGUAGUCCCUGUCUCUUAUAA
RNAcentral lists this ribosomal RNA (305 nucleotides) under uncultured bacterium. RNAcentral's name for it is "partial 16S ribosomal RNA". It matches the Rfam family "Bacterial small subunit ribosomal RNA", at positions 508 to 809 of the family's 1533-position model. The record is from RNAcentral.